AGAACCCUAAACCACAAGAUGGC
This 23-nucleotide non-coding RNA is filed under the name Cricetulus griseus (Chinese hamster). Lineage: Eukaryota; Metazoa; Chordata; Mammalia; Rodentia; Cricetidae. The record is from RNAcentral.